UUGGGCACUGCGCUGCCCAUCCACCCUUCCCACCUUUCCCUACAGAUGUGUGUGUGUUUAGUUUCUGUAGAUCGGAUUCAAAUGUCAACUUCUUAGACGGCUAUGACCACACACUUAAACCUGCCGCUUCCCCUUGAUGGUGUCUAAUACUUCUUGCUGUGUCUUUUUUCUAGCCCUUGUUGCACCCAGCUCGCCACAGGCUACUUGCUUCUGUUUUCCUCUGCCCUAUUGCCAGAAGGAAGAAGAUGGAGAAGCACAAGUCUCAAGAUCUUGUGGUUGAUUUGCAGCAAGCCUAAAGUGACACUGACAUUUUUCCAAGUUGUCCCAUGUCCUCAAACACUCCAGAACUGAGUUUCAAAUCAGUGUCGCCCACGGUGCCCAUCCUGGCUUCUGGGAGCAGCUUUACUCAUAGUCGCACAUGAGGCUCUCUCAUGUGAACUGAUCUAAACACUCACCUAUGGCUGAUAUGGGUAGACAGGAAAACUGUAUGUCAUAGUGAUACAAAGCACAAUGAGCUCUGCCUUCCUUUACUCUGAAAUGACAAUGGCACUGUGUGAACUGAGAAAGACUUGGUGUCUGUCGACUGCUUGAUGUCUUUAGGAAAACAAUCGCCUAUCUGGAGUGACCAUUCUCUCCUGACUUCUUGCUAUUUCCAAUAAUAAUUGUCGCCACUGCAGAGACCACUGUUGUGAAUCGCUUCAGAUCUCUGUUUCCACGGUAAUGCUGUGAUCCUGCACCCAGGAAAGCACAGCUGGCAUUUUCUUCUAUUUCUCCUAGCUCCCAGGCUGGGAAACCACAACAUCCUCAGGGAAGUUUUGCCACUAUGCAGAGGAAUUCACCCCCAGUGUGAUGCUGGAUGCUGCUGAACUGCAUCUCCACUUUAAAAGCAUCAGUACAUGAAGGCCUGAAGGGAUCCUCAGGCUUGGGAAAUGGUUCAGGUAAUGGACUGGUUUCCAGCGACCUCCCUGCCUCCACCUCUCAGGAGCUUGUAAAUAUGUCUCCUGUGGAUGCCUGUGUGUUCAAAAUGGCAGCUUUGCACAAUAUCUCACGAGCUAAAUUCUUGAAUAAAACGAGAAGUAUGGAACUAUG
This 1089-nucleotide long non-coding RNA is filed under the name Mus pahari (shrew mouse). RNAcentral's name for it is "RIKEN cDNA 4933433F19 gene (MGP_PahariEiJ_G0004910.1)". Lineage: Eukaryota; Metazoa; Chordata; Mammalia; Rodentia; Muridae. The record is from RNAcentral.